UGGCCGGUGACGAAAAACACGAUUAAAAACACCAUCUUUCGGGACUGAUUGGCCGCCCGCUAAGCGGCCAUGCUGCCAUUCGUUCUGCAAUUCCGAGGCCA
This is a non-coding RNA of Oryza brachyantha (malo sina), 101 nucleotides long. The record is from Rfam. NCBI's taxonomy places the organism in Eukaryota, Viridiplantae, Streptophyta, Magnoliopsida, Poales, Poaceae.